CAGAAAAUAGUUUAGCGCAGAAUUCUAGCUUUGGGUGCUAGAGGUGAGAGUUAAAAUCUCUUUUUUCUGG
RNAcentral lists this transfer RNA (70 nucleotides) under Clypeobarbus pleuropholis. RNAcentral's name for it is "tRNA-Pro". It matches the Rfam family "tRNA". From Rfam's summary of the family: Transfer RNA (tRNA) molecules are approximately 80 nucleotides in length. Their secondary structure includes four short double-helical elements and three loops (D, anti-codon, and T loops). Further hydrogen bonds mediate the characteristic L-shaped molecular structure. tRNAs have two regions of fundamental functional importance: the anti-codon, which is responsible for specific mRNA codon recognition, and the 3' end, to which the tRNAs corresponding amino acid is attached (by aminoacyl-tRNA synthetases). tRNAs cope with the degeneracy of the genetic code in two manners: having more than one tRNA (with a specific anti-codon) for a particular amino acid; and 'wobble' base-pairing, i.e. permitting non-standard base-pairing at the 3rd anti-codon position. The record is from RNAcentral. Lineage: Eukaryota; Metazoa; Chordata; Actinopteri; Cypriniformes; Cyprinidae.